This 429-nucleotide ribosomal RNA is filed under the name Actinomycetes bacterium. RNAcentral describes it as "Actinobacteria bacterium partial 16S ribosomal RNA". It matches the Rfam family "Bacterial small subunit ribosomal RNA", at positions 355 to 776 of the family's 1533-position model. Lineage: Bacteria; Bacillati; Actinomycetota; Actinomycetes. The record is from RNAcentral.
UAGGGAAUCUUCCGCAAUGGGCGAAAGCCUGACGGAGCAACGCCGCGUGAGUGAUGAAGGUCUUCGGAUCGUAAAACUCUGUUAUUAGGGAAGAACAAAUGUGUAAGUAACUAUGCACGUCUUGACGGUACCUAAUCAGAAAGCCACGGCUAACUACGUGCCAGCAGCCGCGGUAAUACGUAGGUGGCAAGCGUUAUCCGGAAUUAUUGGGCGUAAAGCGCGCGUAGGCGGUUUUUUAAGUCUGAUGUGAAAGCCCACGGCUCAACCGUGGAGGGUCAUUGGAAACUGGAAAACUUGAGUGCAGAAGAGGAAAGUGGAAUUCCAUGUGUAGCGGUGAAAUGCGCAGAGCUAUGGAGGAACACCAGAGGCGAAGGCGACUUUCUGGUCUGUAACUGACGCUGAUGUGCGAAAGCGUGGGGAUCAAACAGG